GACGAACGCUGGCGGUGUGCUUCACACAUGCAAGUCGAGCGAAUGAAGAAGGUAGCUUGCUACUUUUGGAUUUAGCGGCGGACGGGUGAGUAAUAUAUAGGAAUCUGCCCUAGAGCGGGGAACAACAGACCGAAAGGUUUGCUAAUGCCCCAUAGGUACGCAGUCUUCGGAUUGUUUAUUAAAGGAGUAAUCCACUCUAGGAUGAGCCUGUAUCCGAUUAGCUAGUUGGCGGGGUAAAGGCCCACCAAGGCUACGAUCGGUAGUUGGUCUGAGAGGAUGAUCAGCCACAAUGGGACUGAGACACGGCCCAUACUCCUACGGGAGGCAGCAGUGGGGAAUUUUACACAAUGGGGGAAACCCUGAUGUAGCGACACCGCGUGAACGAAGAAGCCUUUUGGGGUGUAAAGUUCUGUCGGCUGGAACGAAAAAAAUGACGGUACCAGCAAAGG
This 449-nucleotide ribosomal RNA is filed under the name uncultured bacterium. RNAcentral's name for it is "bacterial SSU rRNA". It matches the Rfam family "Bacterial small subunit ribosomal RNA", at positions 28 to 487 of the family's 1533-position model. The record is from RNAcentral.